GUCGAACGAAUCCCUGGGGGCAACUCUGGGGGGAAGUGGCGAAAGGGGCAGUAAGGCGUGGGUAACCUACCCCGGGGACGGGCAUAGCCCUCCUAACGGAGGGGUAAUUCCUGGCGAGGUGACGGGGUCGCAUGGUCCUGUCAUGAAAUGAAUUUCGCCUCGGGAGGGGCUCACGUGGUAUUAGCUGGUUGGUGAGGUAACGGCUCACCAAGGCCGAGAUGCCUAGCGGGUGUGAGAGCACGACCCGCGCCACUGGCACUGAGACACUGGCCAGACUCCUACGGGAGGCUGCAGUCGAGGAUCUUCGGCAAUGGGCGCAAGCCUGACCGAGCGACGCCGCGUGUGCGAUGAAGGCCUUCGGGUUGUAAAGCACUGUCGAGGGGGAGGAAGCCCGCAAGGGUUGACCUAUCCCUGGAGGAAGCACGGGCUAAGUUCGUGCCAGCAGCCGCGGUAAGACGAACCGCGCGAACGUUGUUCGGAUUCACUGGGCUUAAAGGGCGCGUAGGCGGUCGACCAAGUCUGGGGUGAAAUCUUUCGGCUCAACCGGAAAAGUGCCCCCGAUACUGGCCGGCUAGAGGGAGAUAGGGGCAUGCGGAACUUCCGGUGGAGCGGUGAAAUGCGUAGAUAUCGGAAGGAACGCCGGUGGCGAAAGCGGCGUGCUGGAUCUCUUCUGACGCUGAGGCGCGAAAGCCAGGGGAGCAAACGGGAUUAGAUACCCCGGUAGUCCUGGCCCUAAACGAUGGGUACUGGGUAGUGGACUUGACAUGGGUUCACUGCCGCA
This 781-nucleotide ribosomal RNA is filed under the name uncultured Planctomycetota bacterium. Its description in RNAcentral is "bacterial SSU rRNA". It matches the Rfam family "Bacterial small subunit ribosomal RNA", at positions 61 to 850 of the family's 1533-position model. The record is from RNAcentral. Lineage: Bacteria; Pseudomonadati; Planctomycetota.